CGAAAGGGAGAGUAACGAGUAGAGUACGUACUCAGGGGUUCAGGAGAGCGGGGGGAAACCGCCGGUAAUACCGAAUAAUGUUUCCGAACCAAAGAUCCAUCGCCCCUGGAGCGGUUUGCUUACUAUUAGUUUGUUGGUGGGGUAAAGGCCUACCAAGGCUAAGAUGGUUAGCGGGUGUGAGAGCAUGGCCCGUCUCACUGGGACUGAGACACUGCCCAGACACCUACGGGUGGCUGCAGUCGAGAAUCUUCCGCAAUGGACGAAAGUCUGACGGAGCGACGCCGCGUGCGGGAUGAAGGCCUUCGGGUUGUAAACCGCUGUCGUAGGGGAGGAAAUUUUGACCGAUCCUAGGAGGAAGCACAGGCUAAGUUCGUGCCAGCAGCCGCGGUAAUACGAACUGUGCGAACGUUAUUCGGAAUCACUGGGCUUAAAGGGUGCGUAGGCGGCUGUGAAGGUCAGGUUGUGAAAUCCCCACGGCUCAACCGUGGAACUGCCGCUUGAAACCCCCACAGCUUGAAGGAAGGUCAGAGGUAAGCGGAACUUGAUGGGUGGGAAGCGGGUGAAAUGCCGUUGAUAUUCAUCAGGAACAACCGGGUGGGCGAAAGCGGGCUUACUGGGACUUUUUCUUGACCGCUGAGGCACGAAAGCCAAGGGGAGCGAACGGGGAUUAGAUACCCCGG
Molecule: ribosomal RNA, 680 nt
Filed under: uncultured bacterium
Lineage: Bacteria
Description: bacterial SSU rRNA
Rfam family: Bacterial small subunit ribosomal RNA
Source: RNAcentral